UCCGCAAUGGGCGAAAGCCUGACGGAGCAACGCCGCGUGGGGGAGGAAGGUCCUUGGAUUGUAAACCUCUUUUCUCAAGGAAGAAAAAAAUGACGGUACUUGAGGAAUAAGCAUCGGCUAACUCCGUGCCAGCAGCCGCGGUAAUACGGAGGAUGCAAGCGUUAUCCGGAAUCAUUGGGCGUAAAGCGUCCGCAGGUGGUAAUGUAAGUUUUUAGUUAAAGACAGAAGCUCAACUUCUGAAAGGCUAAGAAAACUGCAUAACUAGAGGCGGGUAGGGGUAGCAGGAAUUCCCAGUGUAGCGGUGAAAUGCGUAGAGAUUGGGAAGAACAUCGGUGGCGAAAGCGUGCUACUGGGUCGAGCCUGACACUGAG
RNAcentral lists this ribosomal RNA (371 nucleotides) under Radiocystis sp. enrichment culture clone A2. RNAcentral's name for it is "bacterial SSU rRNA". It matches the Rfam family "Bacterial small subunit ribosomal RNA", at positions 365 to 750 of the family's 1533-position model. The record is from RNAcentral. Lineage: Bacteria; Bacillati; Cyanobacteriota; Cyanophyceae; Chroococcales; Microcystaceae.